AGCAGUGUUGCCUAGUGGUUUGAGCUUUGGACUAUGGCUCUGGAGACCUGGGUUUGAAUCCCCGCUUGGCCA
This 72-nucleotide transfer RNA is filed under the name Phrynosoma platyrhinos (Desert horned lizard). Its description in RNAcentral is "tRNA-OTHER". Lineage: Eukaryota; Metazoa; Chordata; Lepidosauria; Squamata; Phrynosomatidae. The record is from RNAcentral.